This 73-nucleotide transfer RNA is filed under the name Bifidobacterium thermophilum. RNAcentral's name for it is "tRNA-Arg". It matches the Rfam family "tRNA". Rfam says of the family: Transfer RNA (tRNA) molecules are approximately 80 nucleotides in length. Their secondary structure includes four short double-helical elements and three loops (D, anti-codon, and T loops). Lineage: Bacteria; Bacillati; Actinomycetota; Actinomycetes; Bifidobacteriales; Bifidobacteriaceae. The record is from RNAcentral.
GCCUUGGUCGCCCAGCGGAUAGGGCGUCCGCCUCCGGAGCGGAAGGUCGUGGGUUCGAAUCCCAUCCAAGGCA